RNAcentral lists this ribosomal RNA (1539 nucleotides) under human gut metagenome. RNAcentral describes it as "bacterial LSU rRNA". It matches the Rfam family "Bacterial large subunit ribosomal RNA", at positions 587 to 2007 of the family's 2925-position model. The record is from RNAcentral.
UGUGGGGUGACGGCGUGCCUAUCGAAAAAUGAGUCUGCGAGUCAGUGGCAUGUGGCGAGCAUAACCCGUGUGGGGUAUGCGUAGCGAAGGCGAGUCUUAAAAGGCGUUUGAGUCGCGUGUCCUGGACCCGAAGCGGGAUGAUCUAGCCCUGGGCAGGUUGAAGCGCGGGUAAGACCGCGUGGAGGACCGAACCCACCUGGGUUGAAAACCGGGGGGAUGACUUGGGGCUAGGGGUGAAAGGCCAAUCAAAUUCCGUGAUAGCUGGUUCUCUCCGAAAUGCAUUUAGGUGCAGCGUCGGUCGAUUGCGUCGCGGGGGUAGAGCUACCGGAUGCUUGCGGGCCCUUGUUGGGUACCAACAGCAGCCGAACUCCGAAUACCGUUGACGUGUAUUCCGGCAGUGAGUCGGCGGGGGAUAAGCUCCGUCGUCGAGAGGGAGACAGCCCAGACCGUCGUCUAAGGUCCCGAAGCGUGUGCUAAGUGGGAAAGGAUGUGGAGUCGCAUAGACAGCCAGGAGGUUGGCUCAGAAGCAGCCAUCCUUUAAAGAGUGCGUAACAGCUCACUGGUCUAGUGGUUCCGCGCCGACAAUGUAGCGGGGCUCAAGCACACCACCGAAGACGCGGCAGCAAUCUUCAUGGUUGCUGGGUAGGAGAGCGUCCUGCGAGGGGCGAAGCGGCGGUGGAAACCGGCCGUGGACUUCGUGGGAGUGAGAAUGCAGACAUGAGUAGCGAGAGACGGGUGAGGAUCCCGUCCGCUGGAUGACCAAGGGUUCCGGGGCCACGUUCGUCGUCCCCGGGUGAGUCGGGUCCUAAGGCGAGGCCGACAGGCGUAGUCGAAUGGAUGAACGGGUGGAUAUUCCCGUACCGACCAUGGACCGGCAAAACCGAGACGGUGAGUACUAACCUCCGCCUCGUGGUGGUUCCUUCCUUCGGGUUGGUUCCGCCGCGUGGUGUUGGGACUGUAGCCGUAGUAGGUCAGCGCAGGGGUGACACGGAAUGGGAGCCGGCCGCGGAGGUGGUUUUCCGUGGUCAAGCACGCAGGGCGUGGGACAGGCAAAUCCGUCCCGCAUGGGUCCGAGGUGCGAUGAUGGGGGCCUUAUGGCCCGAUAUCCGGUGAUCCCGGCUGCCGAGAAAAGCUUCGGCGUCAGGCUCAAAGCCGCCCGUACCCCAAACCGACACUGGUGGUCAGGUAGAGAAUACCAAGGCGAUCGAGCGAAUCCUGGUCAAGGAACUCGGCAAAUCACUCCCGUGCCUUCGGUAUAAGGGAGACCCGCUGGGGUGAACCGGCUAGCCCGGGGAGCUUUGGUGGGUGGCACAGACCAGGGGGUAGCGACUGUUUACCAAAAACACAGGUGCAUGCGAAGGCGCAAGCCGCUGUAUAUGCACUGACGCCUGCCCGGUGCCGGAAGGUUAAGAGGAUCCGUCAGCCUUCGGGUGAAGCGGUGAAUUCAAGCCCCGGUAAACGGCGGUGGUAACUAUAACCAUCCUAAGGUAGCGAAAUUCCUUGUCGGGUAAGUUCCGACCUGCACGAAUGGCGUAACGA